UACCCCUGGUCAUAGGCAAAGAAACACCCUGUUGGUUGUGGUAGUCUUAUAUUAGUCAGUGGCAGAGCAGAUGACAGUCUUUUGUCCAUCCUAGUAAGAUGCCUAGCUUAGUGGCCAAAGCUCUUUUACACCUAGGACACAUAA
Molecule: small nucleolar RNA, 144 nt
Organism: Mus pahari (shrew mouse)
Lineage: Eukaryota; Metazoa; Chordata; Mammalia; Rodentia; Muridae
Product: small nucleolar RNA SNORA48
Exons: 1
Source: RefSeq, a predicted model, not a curated record